RNAcentral lists this ribosomal RNA (3180 nucleotides) under Triticum aestivum (bread wheat). RNAcentral's name for it is "partial small subunit ribosomal RNA". The record is from RNAcentral. Lineage: Eukaryota; Viridiplantae; Streptophyta; Magnoliopsida; Poales; Poaceae.
CCACCGAAUUUUGGUACGGCGAGGGCACGACAAAGAUUGGGAGCGGAGGUGCGGUGUAGGUACCGGUGGGAGUGGGGAGCACGAGGUGGUGGUUUAUGGGUGGCAGUGAAGGAAGUGGCUGGUGGCUGGGAUAGGGGGGUCGAGGCGGAGGCGGAGGGACAAGCGGCGGAGGCGGAGCGAAGGGGCCAGCACCGGUAACGGUGCCACUGCCGGCGGCACGGGGGGCUGCUGUAGAGCGUCGAGUUAUUGGCAGAGGCGCGCGAGCAGGCGGCGGCGCCACAGAGAAGGCGACGGUGUAGAGGGUACCUGGGGCGGGUCCGCCUCCGGAUGGAGGUGUACUAGGCGCUCGUCGUCGCGGAGCCGGAGGCGGUCGAGGCGGCCGUGCGCCGGCUUGGCCUUAUGCUCUCUCUGCAGCCUUCGUUGCCCCUCCUGCUCCUCCUCCCACCGCCUUCCUCCUUCCCCUACCGCCGGUCCUCGAGAAACCCCGUGGCACACCUGGGCGCACUCGACCUCGGGCCGCUCAUGCAGCAAGUGUUCUUUCAGCCGCAGCCGUUCAAGCAGACAUAUUCGCCUCUCCUGCCUCUCCUGAUGCACAAGUAAGUCAUACGCCUGCGGUACCGCUUCGAACGUCAGCUGGUCCGUCGUGCGUACGAGAUGGCUAUGUUGGAAGGAGUACUCUUUUUCUCCGGUUCCUUAGAUUCGUUCGACUUACUAGGAAGAUGUACCCUCUUCUCCUCCGACUUUCCUUUCGAACGACAAGUCUUCUACCACCAGUUGAACUACCUCAAUAUAAAUGUUUCCUACUCCGUCUCUUCCGGCGGCAUGGCUUUCGGACUCCGCUACCUAGUCAAACGAAGACUUAAAGGAAUGCUCGGAUGGGGUCUAGUUUUGGUCCGAAAGUAUCUAUAACUCUUACUAGACUGACUUUCCCUUUGUGGUUACCUGUCUAACUAGACACCUCUACAGCCCAAACCAUUUUGCCUUCAACGUUACGCACGAUAUAAGUAGCAACAUAGAUGUCCUAUAGUUCGAUACCAAGAGCGUGGUUGACAUUAUGAUCGGUUAGUUGUGAUACUGCAUUACAGACUCGCAAAGAGGUUGAUAGGACUGUAUUUCCAGCGGUAUAAGUCGCCACGAGUCUCGUUCCUACUUUUCCUACUCGAUUAUUGGUUUUAAUGCUUACCCGUAAACGUUUAUUAACAACCUUGAGUACGAGAAGAAUGUCUUGCCUACCGGAUAUUGUUAGAACCAGAGGAUCACCACCUACUCCUUGUCUUCAAGCCACAUGUUGUUUUCCUCUUCUAACGUAGUAAGUUUCGAAGAUAACUACAAGAAUGGGACAGGCGUUGUGGGUAAGGUGCUUGAGACAUAGAACGAAAUUGGCCAAAGGCACUACGUUCAAAUUACAGAUGUGGUGGAGGCCUUUCUCAGCGACAGUUCUGGAUACACAGUCGUAAAUCAUCUCUUUCACGAGAUAGUCGAUAGUUUAACCUCAACUUCGCACCGCCAGUUCAAAAGAUACAACAAGGAGCUUAUUUUCGGUAUCUUCUACAUAACGUUAAAGAGUUCCUGAGAGAAGGUCUACAUGGCUACCGAUAACGAGUACCUUUCUUUCACAGUUUCUUAUAUGUUGAACGAUACCUUUUCAAAAGAACACCCCUUUAUUUCUAAGAACAUACGUGUGUAUAGUAACUUUCACCUUAUCUAUAAGGUUUACGGUUGUGUUACUAUCAGGUCAUACGUCUUGAUAAACCCGAGCGGGUCGACAUAGUCAACGCUCCUUCUCAUCCUUCUAGUCCGUCUCUCCCAAAGUGUAUGGAGAAGAUGUGGCUGUUCAGAAACGAAAGGUCUUAACGGUACCUAUCUGAACCUCGAUAACUUCUCGUAAGCCUAGAGCCAGUUCCAAAGGUACAGCGUCUCUUCCUAUACCCAUAAUCCCCUUAACCUUCGUACAAACCACUCGUUGUUAGACCUCUACAACGUUUACAACCGUAGCUAGACAAGAAACUAUACGAAAAACUAUCGAACAGGUUCCAGCUAGUUAAAGCAGAAUUUGGGUAAGGAAUAUUUCUACAAGUCGACCUGUAAUUGUAAAGAGGCGUAGAGAGAAGACUUAUGUAUUCAAUAGAACUUUUAGGACAACUUAACGAGUUACUUCGUCGCGUUCGACGUCUUGUUCUAUAUACCUUGAAUUACGUUAAGUGUCUUCUAGAGGCAGCUGUCAUACCCUUCCUCGGGGCACUAUACCUCAACGAUAAUUUUUUCGAGAUACAUUCCGCCUACCGUCGUCUAGAACCAUAGUCGGCCUAUAUAGGUAGACCGUUUUACUAGUAGUACUUUUGUUUGUACUCGUCCUUUCAAAAAUCCGAGUACCUUCUUUGGUACCGAAGACUCUGCGUAGCGUUAAGAAACAGUAAGUGACCUUUCCUUUAAUUCCGCCUUGAAGACCAGUUAGACGGUCUGUGUGAUGAAGACUUGACCGAUAAAGUAACGAAUCGCCUAACGAUACGUUAUUACGGUCGGGAACACUCUAUGAUCUAAGAAACUAACCUUUUCCUGUUCUUGAUAUUGGACCUUACUUGAUAAGUACAAGCUCUUUUACUUUUCCGUUUACACAUGGUUAUUAUACGUUGUAACAAUUCUUUUAGACACUUUUACAUCACACUGUCUAAUAUGGAUAUGUAUUUGACCUACGGGUUUACCUUUCCGCACUUGAUGUAAAGACGUAGGUGACUGUCAAAGCAAAUCGAUCGUCACCGACCACACUACGUGUUAACUAUAGGACUUUACGACAAGUAGUUACCGCAAUUUCUUAAGACCAAGUCUAAGAAUAACGUCUCUUCUAGAGGUUCUAAGAAGACUCCGAAAGACUACCUCUUUUAGGUCGUAACGCUCAUUGUCCACGUAUCCCAAGUACUGACCAUUGCAUAUCAAAACAUUAGUCUUACGCGACAUAAUCCACCCCUCUAACUCACUAACUAAUGAACUAGGGAAACUAAGUCGUUUCCCAUCCAAAGAGAAAAAAAAUCCCCUUGAUUUUGAAAUAACUAAUUGAGCAAGGUCUCCAUACUAAUGUCACAGUACGCCGAGUUCAUCGGUGUGUGCAGAUGGAUACAGAUUCAUGUUUCUCAUAAAGUGAUCUGAUAGUCGAAGUACUAAAGAACUAGACGAGAGUACUGA